Cherax quadricarinatus is the source of this 1869-nucleotide non-coding RNA. Lineage: Eukaryota; Metazoa; Arthropoda; Malacostraca; Decapoda; Parastacidae. The record is from RefSeq and is a predicted model, not a curated record.
UGAGAAGGGCUGGUGUUGAGUGGGACUUGCACAUGAGUGAGAAGGGUUGGUGUUGAGUGGGACUUGCACAUGAGUGAGAAGGGUGGUGUUGAGUGGGACUUGCACAUGAGUGAGAAGGGCUGGUGUUGAGUGGGACUUGCACUUGAGUUUAUAGUGUUAUUAAGCUUAUUCCUUGGCUAACAUUGAUAAUGGUCUUGGCAAGUAUUUUUUAGUGGGUUUGGGUUGGACAAGGACCUGGCAAGUAUGGGCCAGUAGUCCUGCUGCAGUGUUCCUCCUUUCUUAAGUUCUUAAUAGCACAAAAGAAUUGUACACUGUUGAUGUUGCUUGUACAGUUCCCAUAAUGUUAUUCUCAGUAAUUUUAAUUCAAUGUACAGUGGUUGUGGUUAUACUAUAUCCAUUAUAACAGUUCAUGGGCUGGGUUAGGUAUAUUUUAUUAAAAAUAUAUGACAGCUUUGUAAUAUAGGAAGGCAACUCAAAAAGGCCUGAUAUUAAUAUUUUUACGUUGAAAGGACAUGGUAGGCUCUUAUGGCUCACGAAAUCAUCAUGACACGAUUGCAAACAAACCAUAUCACAAGGGGGGGUUAGAACCCGUGACAGUCUGGAGUUUUGAGACUCUGAUUAUGGGUUCUAACCCUUCCCGUGACAAUAUGCUGUGAUCAGUUAACUCGUAUAAUUAUUAAUAUGGUUAUUUUUUGUAUAUUGAGUGUAAUAUAUGUGUGUGUGUGUGUCAGUUCUUGGAAUAAAGGCUGACAGUCUUGAACAAAUGCAAGGGACUUCUUUUUUAAUCAGUAAAAGUACCCCUGAUGGAUAUAUUUAUCCUUGUAAAUAGUGAUAAGUUAUUAAUCUUUUAUGUGAAGAAUUAAUAUUACAUUUUUGUAGGUAAUAAGAAAAGUAAAUAUACAUCAGAUUAAUUGAAAUGCUUAUAAAAAAAAUCAGGGUGGGCAUAAUAAUGAAUAGGUAUAAUAAAUAAUAAUAAAUGGGCAUAAGAAAGUAUAUUGUGUUACAUUUAGUAUUUGAGGCAAGUAUUAAUCUAACACUUGAGCUAAAUAAUGAAUAUUUAAGAGACGUAUGUAAUACAGCCUCUCCUCACUUAAUGACGGAGUUCCGUUCCUAAGACCUCAUUGGUAAAUAAAUUUGAUCGUAAGUGAGGAUCGUACUAUAAUGGUAGUGGGUUUGUGUCAGCCAUCUUUGAUAUUGUUUUAAUGUCACCUUUGCACCAUUUAUAACAUUUCUGGUAUAUUUUUUAAAUGUUUAUGCAGUAGUGUUCUGUAUAUUGUAAUAAACAGAAUAGAGGAAAUCAGCUCUAAUGUAUAUUAAUUAGGUAUGAAUACUGGCCAAAGAGCCCGUCGUAAGUCUGAGUCGUUGGUAAACGAAUACGUUUCUAAGUGAGGAGAGGCUGUAUAGUAAAUUGUACAUAUGGUGAGUCGGGAAAACCAUAGUCUACAUUUCCGUAGCUUUUGCAAGAGAAUUGGAGAGAUUUGAACCAGAAUGAAGUAUGAUGAUGUAAACUUGUUGUACCAACACCCUGGCUAUGAUGACUGUAAACAAAUUAUACUAACACCCUGGCUAUGAUGACUGUAAACACAUUAUACUAACACCCUGGCUAUGAUGACUGUAAACACAUUGUACCAACACCCUGGCUAUGAUGACUGUAAACACAUCGUACCAACACCCAGCUACGAUGACUACAGUGAUAGUAUUCAUUAUCAUAGCCAUAGCCAAAUUGCUUGACACAGGUUCAAAUCCCAUCAUUUCUUUCAAAAUAUUGGGCAUUACAUUUACAGAAUGGCAUUCCUACUUUCAACUGGUAAUAUUGAAAGUUGAUAUUAUUUUUUAACUUGGGUAAUAUUGUGAAUAGUUAUGAGAUAA